This 87-nucleotide transfer RNA is filed under the name Escherichia coli. Its description in RNAcentral is "tRNA-Leu". It matches the Rfam family "tRNA". From Rfam's summary of the family: Transfer RNA (tRNA) molecules are approximately 80 nucleotides in length. Their secondary structure includes four short double-helical elements and three loops (D, anti-codon, and T loops). Lineage: Bacteria; Pseudomonadati; Pseudomonadota; Gammaproteobacteria; Enterobacterales; Enterobacteriaceae. RNAcentral also lists the same sequence under 2 other names. The record is from RNAcentral.
GCGAAGGUGGCGGAAUUGGUAGACGCGCUAGCUUCAGGUGUUAGUGUUCUUACGGACGUGGGGGUUCAAGUCACCCCCCUCGCACCA